GUAGGUGGCAAGCGUUGUCCGGAAUUACUGGGUGUAAAGGGAGCGCAGGCGGGCUGUCAAGUUGGAAGUGAAAUCUAUGGGCUCAACCCAUAAAUUGCUUUCAAAACUGAUGGUCUCGAGUAGUGCAGAGGUAGGCGGAAUUCCCGGUGUAGCGGUGGAAUGCGUAGAUAUCGGGAGGAACACCAGUGGCGAAGGCGGCCUACUGGGCACCAACUGACGCUGAGGCUCGAAAGCAUGGGUAGCAAACAGGAUUAGAUACCCUGGUAGUCCAUGCCGUAAACGAUGAUUACUAGGUGUUGGAGGAUUGACCCCUUCAGUGCCGCAGUUAACACAAUAAGUAAUCCACCUGGGGAGUACGACCGCAAGGUUG
RNAcentral lists this ribosomal RNA (370 nucleotides) under uncultured bacterium. RNAcentral describes it as "bacterial SSU rRNA". It matches the Rfam family "Bacterial small subunit ribosomal RNA", at positions 527 to 896 of the family's 1533-position model. The record is from RNAcentral.